Molecule: non-coding RNA, 107 nt
Organism: Gossypium raimondii (Peruvian cotton)
Lineage: Eukaryota; Viridiplantae; Streptophyta; Magnoliopsida; Malvales; Malvaceae
Source: Rfam
AAUCCAUGUAUUGGACAUUUCCGAAUUAAGUCUUUAAAUUGUUCUUAAGCUUCAUAUAGUGUUUCAUUCUCCAAUUUUCGAAAAGAUGUGACAUCAUUUCUAAGCUU